Molecule: ribosomal RNA, 1343 nt
Filed under: uncultured bacterium
Lineage: Bacteria
Description: 16S ribosomal RNA
Rfam family: Bacterial small subunit ribosomal RNA
Source: RNAcentral
GACGAACGCUGGCGGCGUGCUUAACACAUGCAAGUCGAACGGAAAGGCCCUGCUUUUGUGGGGUGCUCGAGUGGCGAACGGGUGAGUAACACGUGAGUAACCUGCCCUUGACUUUGGGAUAACUUCAGGAAACUGGGGCUAAUACCGGAUAGGAGCUCCUGCUGCAUGGUGGGGGUUGGAAAGUUUCGGCGGUUGGGGAUGGACUCGCGGCUUAUCAGCUUGUUGGUGGGGUAGUGGCUUACCAAGGCUUUGACGGGUAGCCGGCCUGAGAGGGUGACCGGCCACAUUGGGACUGAGAUACGGCCCAGACUCCUACGGGAGGCAGCAGUGGGGAAUAUUGCACAAUGGGCGGAAGCCUGAUGCAGCAACGCCGCGUGCGGGAUGACGGCCUUCGGGUUGUAAACCGCUUUCGCCUGUGACGAAGCGUGAGUGACGGUAAUGGGUAAAGAAGCACCGGCUAACUACGUGCCAGCAGCCGCGGUGAUACGUAGGGUGCGAGCGUUGUCCGGAUUUACUGGGCGUAAAGGGCUCGUAGGUGGUUGAUCGCGUCGGAAGUGUAAUCUUGGGGCUUAACCCUGAGCGUGCUUUCGAUACGGGUUGACUUGAGGAAGGUAGGGGAGAAUGGAAUUCCUGGUGGAGCGGUGGAAUGCGCAGAUAUCAGGAGGAACACCAGUGGCGAAGGCGGUUCUCUGGGCCUUUCCUGACGCUGAGGAGCGAAAGCGUGGGGAGCGAACAGGCUUAGAUACCCUGGUAGUCCACGCUGUAAACGGUGGGUACUAGGUGUGGGGUCCAUUCCACGGGUUCCGUGCCGUAGCUAACGCUUUAAGUACCCCGCCUGGGGAGUACGGCCGCAAGGCUAAAACUCAAAGGAAUUGACGGGGCCCCGCACAAGCGGCGGAGCAUGCGGAUUAAUUCGAUGCAACGCGUAGAACCUUACCUGGGUUUGACAUGGAUCGGGAGUGCUCAGAGAUGGGUGUGCCUCUUUUGGGGUCGGUUCACAGGUGGUGCAUGGCUGUCGUCAGCUCGUGUCGUGAGAUGUUGGGUUAAGUCCCGCAACGAGCGCAACCCUUGUUCACUGUUGCCAGCACGUUAUGGUGGGGACUCAGUGGAGACCGCCGGGGUCAACUCGGAGGAAGGUGGGGAUGACGUCAAGUCAUCAUGCCCCUUAUGUCCAGGGCUUCACGCAUGCUACAAUGGCUGGUACAGAGAGUGGCGAGCCUGUGAGGGUGAGCGAAUCUCGGAAAGCCGGUCUCAGUUCGGAUUGGGGUCUGCAACUCGACCUCAUGAAGUCGGAGUCGCUAGUAAUCGCAGAUCAGCAACGCUGAGGUGAAUACGUUCCCGGG